AGAGCGAACGCUGGCGGCAGGCUUAACACAUGCAAGUCGAGCGGGCGUAGCAAUACGUCAGCGGCAGACGGGUGAGUAACGCGUGGGAACGUACCUUUUGGUUCGGAACAACCCAGGGAAACUUGGGCUAAUACCGGAUAAGCCCUUACGGGGAAAGAUUUAUCGCCGAAAGAUCGGCCCGCGUCUGAUUAGCUAGUUGGUGAGGUAAUGGCUCACCAAGGCGACGAUCAGUAGCUGGUCUGAGAGGAUGAUCAGCCACAUUGGGACUGAGACACGGCCCAAACUCCUACGGGAGGCAGCAGUGGGGAAUAUUGGACAAUGGGCGCAAGCCUGAUCCAGCCAUGCCGCGUGAGUGAUGAAGGCCCUAGGGUUGUAAAGCUCUUUUGUGCGGGAAGAUAAUGACGGUACCGCAAGAAUAACGCCCCGGCUAACGUUCGCGCCAGCAGCCGC
This 450-nucleotide ribosomal RNA is filed under the name uncultured bacterium. RNAcentral's name for it is "SSU rRNA". It matches the Rfam family "Bacterial small subunit ribosomal RNA", at positions 26 to 518 of the family's 1533-position model. The record is from RNAcentral.